CACACACACUUGUUGUAUUGUCGCCUUUCUUUUAUUUUUCCGAAAAUGCGAAAGGACGAUGGUACGACAUGGCGUAACUUAGCGACCUUGACAAAAAGGAGUGCGAUUUUUCGAAAAUUAAGUUCAUGACGUCACUCACUUACAUUAUUCUUUCGGGGAUGCUGUAUUACCUUUGUUGAUUGUCAAGCGUUUUUUUAGACAACCACAGCUUUCACAUUUAUUUAUAAAGUGAUUUACGUUAAUUGUAAUUUAGAUGGAAAAAUAAACUUAUUUUGUUUAUAUUGCAAACAGUACAAAGAGACAAUAUCGUUUUUGUUUGAUAACCGUAUUUUACCUUUAAUCUCAACAUGGACUAACCAAGUAGUGUGCGUGUCACUGUAUAGAUCUACAGAUCUAACUACAGUUGAACGUUGAGAUACCACGUCUUUUGUUCUCUUAAACAUUUAGGUGAUUUCAAACGAGACAAACAUGUUAUUUGACAAAAUAGGACUCGCUCUCUUAGGAUUAGCUUUAAUCUUAAAUAUUAUAGGCGUGGCAAUUCCAUAUUGGUUUUAUUUCUCUUUAACCGCGGAAGGUGAAACCUGGACUACAAAUUUUGGUCUAUGGAAGACAUGUGUGGCUGCAACAGCGGGCAAAGGCGGUACCUUAGUUACACAAUGCAUAAACUUCCACAACACGGACGGUUUUACUGUGCGUGGUAUUAGUGGAAAACCCUUUAACAAGCCUCACGUGUAAAUAUUUUUGCGCAUGCGCGCAAGGACGGAAUCCCCCAGAGAAAACAAGGUCACGUUUUGACGACGCACAGGUAAAAGUGAUUUAAAAUGAGACUUUUUAUAUGUAUUGUCGAACUGACACUUAGAUUUUGUCUCGUUAAUGUAUCUGCUUGAUUUGAAAUGAUUUUUGUAUUUUCUGAUCGCAAGAUCAGUAAAUACAUAGCUAACAUCCACGGUCUAACACAAAAUUUCCUAACAGUCCUAACAACGCAAAGUAGUUCUCACUCAAAACUGCUUAAAAACCAGCAAUUUAAAAGAAAGAACAAUUUUUUGUUACAAGUGUCCAACAAAUUACUUCACAUACAAACUUUAAAAGUAGCGUUGGCUUAUAGAAUUGUCAAUAAAUGCACACUCACAAAUUACGCGGAUGAAUAUGAUUUUAAUCGAUGAAAAUGCUAUUUUUAGCGAUGUCGAUUACCGAAUACUACACAAAUAAAUCUGACUGCCGAGUAGUUGAAUAUAUAGUUUCUACAUGUUGGACUGUUUGGGCGAGAAGAUUUUUGCUAAAUUAUUUACUUCAAUUUUAAACAACAGGUUUACCCUGAACAAAAUACCUCGAAAUUACCCUAACCCGAAAUGCAAUGGAAAUUCUAAAUUUAGAAUGACUUGAUUUUAUUCAGCCUCUGUUUUUAUAACUUCUCCGUGGUGCAGGGGUAACGCGCUCGUAAUGUGUGAGAGGCCUGGAGUUCAAAUCCCAGUCGAGUCAACAUUUUUUUAAAUUCUUUUUUUAGUGUCUUUGGAAAUAGCCACGAUAUGCAAGGAUAAAGUGUGGCUAUCAUAAAAAAAUGAACAUAAAUGAUUUUUUAGCAACGGAUAUACAUGUAUACAAUCAUUUAUAAUCCAUAUGUGUAAUGCAUGAUCAACACCACACUUGUGUAAUUGUCCCUUAUUAUGUAAUCGCUAUUAGCGAAGACCCCCUCUAAAGUUAUCUGUUCACACUUACUAACAAUAUGACACUGGUUACAUUACCAUGUUGAUCAUGCUGAGCAUAAUUGUUUAUUACACAAUAAUUGUAAUAUCUAUUUUAAUAAAAAAAAAUACAGAUUUUAUGAAUAUUGUUUUCUUUUCUUUUUUGUGUUUUAUGUGCUAUUUUAAUACUGAGUUUUUACGUUUACUACUAUUUUAAGAAUUCAAUUGUCAUAUUGACCGACGAUUAUAAGUAAAAACUUAACUGGAAAAAGUCAGUAAAUUAUGGUUAAACUUUUAAUAUAUAAUAUUGUUUAUUCUUAAAACAUAUACAUGUACAUUUGUAUUUCUCUUUAUCAUUUUUUAAAUUAUCAAUCAAUUGAAUAAUUCAUAAAAUCUAAUUUGUAACUUUGAAUAAUUCCUCGGCAUCUUUACUAAACACGAAUAACAAAUUAAAUAAAAUGUUUCAAAGUUGAUAGUGUCAUAUUAAUACCAUAAAAAUGUACCUUUUUUCUCAAUUAUUGUACAUAUUUAUUGUUUUUAUCUCAUAUAGAUAAAAUAAAACAUGUUAUUGUUGUUGUUGGUUUUUUUUUCGAAUUGUAUGUUUAUGUAUAAUAAUAAUCAAUAAAUUUGAGAGUUGA
Molecule: long non-coding RNA, 2320 nt
Organism: Ruditapes philippinarum (Manila clam)
Lineage: Eukaryota; Metazoa; Mollusca; Bivalvia; Venerida; Veneridae
Exons: 2
Source: RefSeq, a predicted model, not a curated record